AUGAACGCUGGCGGCGUGCCUAAUACAUGCAAGUCGAGCGAACAGACGAGGAGCUUGCUCCUCUGACGUUAGCGGCGGACGGGUGAGUAACACGUGGAUAACCUACCUAUAAGACUGGGAUAACUUCGGGAAACCGGAGCUAAUACCGGAUAAUAUAUUGAACCGCAUGGUUCAAUAGUGAAAGACGGUUUUGCUGUCACUUAUAGAUGGAUCCGCGCCGCAUUAGCUAGUUGGUAAGGUAACGGCUUACCAAGGCGACGAUGCGUAGCCGACCUGAGAGGGUGAUCGGCCACACCGGAACUGAGACACGGUCCAGACUCCUACGGGAGGCAGCAGUAGGGAAUCUUCCGCAAUGGGCGAAAGCCUGACGGAGCAACGCCGCGUGAGUGAUGAAGGUCUUCGGAUCGUAAAACUCUGUUAUUAGGGAAGAACAAAUGUGUAAGUAACUAUGCACGUCUUGACGGUACCUAAUCAGAAAGCCACGGCUAACUACGUG
Molecule: ribosomal RNA, 496 nt
Filed under: uncultured bacterium
Lineage: Bacteria
Description: partial 16S ribosomal RNA
Rfam family: Bacterial small subunit ribosomal RNA
Source: RNAcentral